Spodoptera frugiperda (fall armyworm) is the source of this 1925-nucleotide long non-coding RNA. RefSeq lists it as uncharacterized. NCBI's taxonomy places the organism in Eukaryota, Metazoa, Arthropoda, Insecta, Lepidoptera, Noctuidae. The transcript is spliced from 11 exons. The record is from RefSeq and is a predicted model, not a curated record.
UCAUCUAUUUCAAAAACGAAGUUCUUUUUGGCACCAAUCAAAACUGUAAUAUCAAAAAUUCAGCAAAAAAAUCCCAAAAACAAAAUUCACAGUGAUUACAUUUACACAGAAUAAACAGUUAUAAAUAUUUCAUAACAGGGUGUUCCUCGCUGCAGACAUGAUGAUGCGGUAGACCAUGGGCAUCCCGAGAGCUGUGCUGAUGCUCCUUGCUGGGUUCUACUCACUUAUUGGAUUGGUUAGCGCGUACACGAAAAAAGUUAUAGUCGCCUGCAGAAGCCCGGUGGCCUGCAGCUAGUGACCACGUACCUGACAAUGGCCCAAACUGCCUUGCAACGCCUGUAUACGGUUUUAUUUGCAGUAUUCUCAAUAGUAAUCGUUGCCAUUUCGUGUUGUUGCAAGAAGAAAAUUCCCUGCUCUGGCAGAGCUCCUUGCAGACGUGGACCCUACAGGCACUAAUGACACGGCAAACUUUGAGCGUUGGGUUGGGAAAAGUGGCGAAGAGGGGGCUGCUUUUCCAAAAUGUUUUCGCGUUUCGGAAAUUUAUGGGUAGCAGACAUCUGGGAUAGCUUCUACUGCUGGAGACAGUUCAGGAGAAUGGAAAAAGUGGACAGCAACAUUGACGUGUGGCAGACGGGACAAAUAAAUGAGAUAGAACAAAAAUUGUUUGGAAACCCAGCGAUACGGCCCAUGCAGUUUGAGACUAUGUUCGAGCUACUGCAGUGACUACUCAACCACGAGACUUGAGGGGAGAUGGACUCAUGCGUUGCAAUGGCGAGUAACAUUAAAUAAUAUAGAAGUAAGUCUACGCCCCUUCAAAUGUUGUAAAGUAUAUGAUGUCGAUGGCAAGUCAUUGGGAUCGCCUACUCAUCAUCGUUUGCCUGUUGGCCGCGUGGUUGCUAGAAGUUACCUGCUGCGGUCAGAAACGUAUUACCUGCACUCCUACUAACCCGCCCUGCAAGAAAUAAUUGAUCUGCCGGUUUCCUGGCAAUGGACAAAGCCUUCAUCCAAGAGGUGGUGAUACUGCUGGUGACUCUGUUCCUCUCGUACCUGGAGACCUGUCUCGAGUGCUCCCCGCUGGACUACUUCUACUGCAACGACACGAGCCUGGUGAAGGAGUAGAUCUUCAGCAAUCCUGGCAUUUAUAUGUACCAACAAUAAUGGUGUUAUUAAACGAGUUCUUCCUGGUAUUCAUACAUAUCGCGUUGUCCGUGUUGGAGGUUACCCAGGGAUGCAAAUGCAAGCGGCGUAGGUUUCUGUGUCGCGACCGUAACUGCCGCCCCUGCCACCCAGAUAUUGGAUAUGAAUCAAGCACCGUCAAAGUGAUCGUGCCGAAGUAAUGUUGUUCAGGAAUUUUAUCAAACUGCUCCUGUUUGCUGCCUUGCUCAUUGGCAACGUGUUGGCCUGCAGGAAACAGAGCAACCUGACGAGUGACAAAGUUUGUUGUCGUAGGCCUAAUACAAUGCCAAAAGGAGGCAAGAAGAAGUGAGUUAAUGAAGUUUGAAAACGUACAACUAAAGAUAUUGGUGCAACGUAACGCUGUGUAUUCGCUUCUUGUUGUAUGUACGAGUCGUCCGUAUCUACCUAUCUAUUAUCUGCACAUGUUGAGGACUGAGCUAUCCCAUUGAGAUGUUUCAGGAUGAGGUUCGGCCAGGCGUGCGUGCUGCUGGUGCAGCUGGGCGCCGUGGUGUUGGCCUACUGCCGCCACAGGACCUACACCGAUAUACCGGGCUACUGCAACGCAGACCAUAUUGAACUCAUUUAUCCUAAAAAGAAAUUAUGACAACCGUUUCAUCCGUGUCGCAAGACGUCAAACAAAAUCAAUGGUUUGUAGAUAGCAAUAGAAUAGUAACCGAAUUUAUUUAUUUAAUUAUUUUAACUAAAUGACCAAUAUUUAUGUAACUUUAUAUAAACAAACUUUUUUAAUA